CUAUCAUCGCGCUAUCUCCGCCCGGUAACACCGCCGCCGCGCCAUCCUAGCCCGCUAACACCGCCGCCAUCCGUCAUGCCUCCACAGAUUGCUUCCUCCGUGCGACUGCGCGCAUCCUUCAUCCAUUGGCGUCGCAGUGGUGCGCUCUUCCGUUGGUGCUGGUGGGGCUACUCCGUCUCCGCCGCCAGCGCAGUCACCGCCUCGGCCCUCCUCGCCUCACCUGUGCCACGGUUCCAAAACCCCAACCUCCAGGCUCCAGCCGCCCACUACACCUCCACUCCUCUCACGUCGUGCUACACCCUGCCGGCGGCCUGUAACGGCACCACAAGCCCUGUCCUCUCCGCACCCCCCGGGGGCCGAACCUCCUUGCCGUGUGCUGCCAUAUCCUCGCUGCGAGCCCUGUCUCGCAGAGAAACCUGGACGCCAUACCUCCUAGCCGUCGCCACGAACAGCUCCAUCGGAAACUCCGCACCCGCCAUAUAUGCCUUCGUCGCUUUGCCUGCAGGGCUCCGGUGCGGAGCGUGGGGCCAAAGCUGCUGCGUGAGGAUAGAGGCAGCCUGCGAUCUAAGUCACUGGUGGAAAAGGGGAGCAAAAGGCCGAAUGUUUUCUGCUGUUGUUGCUCCUUUCUUGUUUGCAUCUGAUUAGAUCCAUGAGUAAUACGCUCCUUCGUAUGCACCCUCCCCCAGCUUAAAAUACUUCAUGUACCUUGCCAAUAACAAGACUUUGAUUUUGGUUGCGUUUUAUUCAAGCUUCUCUGGCCUGAUCUUCCUUUUUUUUUUCAUUUCUUGAUGUCCUGGCUGAUGAGACGAUACCAAGAGAACCAUCUGUUGCUUCAUGCAACUGAUGAACAUGACCCAACUGAUUUUCCUUUUUCAUUUUUCUCGCUCUAAGGUGAAACUGACAGACCCAAGGAAGUACUUUGUGCAGCACGCUGCACGCCUGCCGUAUACUGCUGCAUGGAGCUCGGACAAUGUCAAAGUUAUCAUGAAGGCUUCCAAUGAGCCAAUGAUGAUUGAGAGGAGGCAAUCUUCACACUGGUCAAGGACCUUGCUACCGACUUGCAAAAUUCACCUUCUGAAAUUGUUGGCUACAGCGGUGUGAAGGUAGUCUCACUUCAAAAACAAAUCAGGCUGCUGCAUAUGUGCGAUAUAUUUGGUUUAAGUUGUAUUUUCUAACGUGCAUUGCACGAUUACUAGUGUAUAUAUAUGUGUGUGCACGCUGGCACCUGGGCUGGAAGCCCAGCCAACUCCAAACUUGAUCCACAAAGAUUAAUUAAGGAAAUACUUAGCGUUGUAAUGAUGCUGCAAAUCA
This is a long non-coding RNA of Oryza sativa Japonica Group (Japanese rice), 1311 nucleotides long. RefSeq lists it as uncharacterized. NCBI's taxonomy places the organism in Eukaryota, Viridiplantae, Streptophyta, Magnoliopsida, Poales, Poaceae. The record is from RefSeq and is a predicted model, not a curated record.